Molecule: ribosomal RNA, 500 nt
Filed under: uncultured archaeon
Lineage: Archaea
Description: bacterial SSU rRNA
Rfam family: Archaeal small subunit ribosomal RNA
Source: RNAcentral
CACGUGGAUAACCUAACCUGAAGUGGGGGAUAAUCUCGGAAAACUGAGGAUAAUACCCCAUAGGUCUUCGAUACUGGAAUGUUCCUAGGCUGAAAGCCAAGGCGCUUCAGGAUGGGUCUGCGGCCUAUCAGGUUGUAGUGAGUGUAAAGGACUCACUAGCCGACGACGGGUACGGGCCGUGGGAGUGGUAGCCCGGAGAUGGACUCUGAGACACGAGUCCAGGCCCUACGGGGCGCAGCAGGCGCGAAAACUUCGCAAUGCGCGGAAGCGCGACGAGGGGAUUCCAAGUGCAUGCACUCUGUGUAUGCUGUUUACUAGUCUAAAACGCUAGUAGAGCAAGGGCUGGGUAAGACUGGUGCCAGCCGCCGCGGUAAUACCAGCGGCCCUAGUGGUGAUCGUUAUUAUUGGGCCUAAAGCGUCCGUAGCCGGCCCGGUAAAUCUCUGGGUAAAUCGUUGGGCUUAACUCAACGAAUUCUGGGGAGACUGCCGGGCUUGGGACC